AUCAGAGACAAAGACAAAAGGUUAGGCACAUUUUAUCUUUUGUAUGGGAUUUUCUUGAAAAAUAUUAGAUAUUUGAAGGGAAUCUUUUUUAAUGUGUGUCUUUUGGUGUCUAUAAAGAUCUAAACGCUUCCUUGUCUGUUUUAUCUGCAGAUUAUCUGAAAACGUUUUUUUUUAGUUUCUGAGAGAGAAAGACAGACAGAUUGAGAAGAUGUUGGAAGGAAAAGCAAUGGUUGAAGAUUCAGAUAUGCCAGUGAAGAUGCUGAAAGUUACACAGAGACUGACGAAGAAGAUAGCUUUUAUUUUAUUAAUGCUUUUCAACUUAGGAAAACAA
RNAcentral lists this long non-coding RNA (331 nucleotides) under Brassica napus (rape). RNAcentral's name for it is "long non-coding RNA (BNAP_LNC006520)". Lineage: Eukaryota; Viridiplantae; Streptophyta; Magnoliopsida; Brassicales; Brassicaceae. The record is from RNAcentral.